AGUACGGCUCAAUGGUAGAGUACCUGCCUAGCAAGCAUGAGUUCUGAGUUCAAUCCCCAGUACU
This 64-nucleotide transfer RNA is filed under the name Dipodomys ordii (Ord's kangaroo rat). It matches the Rfam family "tRNA". From Rfam's summary of the family: Transfer RNA (tRNA) molecules are approximately 80 nucleotides in length. Their secondary structure includes four short double-helical elements and three loops (D, anti-codon, and T loops). Lineage: Eukaryota; Metazoa; Chordata; Mammalia; Rodentia; Heteromyidae. The record is from Rfam by way of RNAcentral.